This 701-nucleotide ribosomal RNA is filed under the name uncultured Arcobacter sp. RNAcentral describes it as "bacterial SSU rRNA". It matches the Rfam family "Bacterial small subunit ribosomal RNA", at positions 83 to 804 of the family's 1533-position model. The record is from RNAcentral. Lineage: Bacteria; Pseudomonadati; Campylobacterota; Epsilonproteobacteria; Campylobacterales; Arcobacteraceae.
GCGGGAAUUCGAUUGGCGGACGGGUGAGUAAUAUAUAGGUAACGUGCCCUAGAGAAGAGGAUAACAGUUGGAAACGACUGCUAAGACUCUAUAUGCCUUUAAGACAAAAGUCUGCAAGGGAAAUAUUUAUAGCUCUAGGAUCGGCCUGUACGGUAUCAGUUAGUUGGUGAGGUAAUGGUUCACCAAGACAAUGACGCCUAACUGGUUUGAGAGGAUGAUCAGUCACACUGGAACUGAGACACGGUCCAGACUCCUACGGGAGGCAGCAGUGGGGAAUAUUGCACAAUGGGGGAAACCCUGAUGCAGCAACGCCGCGUGGAGGAUGACACAUUUCGGUGCGUAAACUCCUUUUAUAUAGGAAGAUAAUGACGGUACUAUAUGAAUAAGCGCCGGCUAACUCCGUGCCAGCAGCCGCGGUAAUACGGAGGGCGCAAGCGUUACUCGGAAUCACUGGGCGUAAAGAGCGUGUAGGCGGGUUAAUAAGUCAGAUGUGAAAGCCUAUGGCUCAACCAUAGAACUGCAUUUGAAACUGUUAACCUAGAAUAUGGGAGAGGUAGAUGGAAUUUCUGGUGUAGGGGUAAAAUCCGUAGAGAUCAGAAGGAAUACCGAUUGCGAAGGCGAUCUACUGGAACAUUAUUGACGCUGAGACGCGAAAGCGUGGGGAGCAAACAGGAUUAGAUACCCUGGUAGUCCACGCCCUA